UAAAUAAAUUAGGGAAACCCUGCUGUAGUAAUGGGCUAAGUAGCUAAUGAGGUAUUUGUUUGCUCCAUCAAUCUUCUAAGUCAAAAGCCUUAGCUUCAAGAGUGAUUUCUUUUUAAAUUGUGACAUGAUUGACUACUAAGUAAUUCAGUGUAUGCUCCAUUGUGAUUAUCAAGUCAAAGAAUUUUGUGACAUGCUAAUUCC
This 201-nucleotide long non-coding RNA is filed under the name Gossypium raimondii (Peruvian cotton). RNAcentral describes it as "long non-coding RNA (GRAI_LNC002111)". Lineage: Eukaryota; Viridiplantae; Streptophyta; Magnoliopsida; Malvales; Malvaceae. The record is from RNAcentral.